This is a long non-coding RNA of Passer domesticus (house sparrow), 407 nucleotides long. RefSeq lists it as uncharacterized. The transcript has 3 exons. The record is from RefSeq and is a predicted model, not a curated record. NCBI's taxonomy places the organism in Eukaryota, Metazoa, Chordata, Aves, Passeriformes, Passeridae.
CUUCCUCAGUUUCCACUCCAAGGAUGUUUCACAGAGCUCAGAAAUAGUGUGGAGAGUGACCGGGGCAAGGCCAUAGCUCCCCAUCCCCCGGUACUGCUUUGGUCAUGGCCAUUGACAUCUGGCUCCCAUGGCCUUAUCCGACCCAUCCUCAUGAAGAGGAACUACCUUUCUCUAAUGUCCUCGAAGAGACAAGACCCAAGAUACAGAAGACAAAAAAUCCCUGGAGGCAGCCAAACAUCUGGACCAGAUGAUGAGUGCACAGGUGAGGGUGCUGGGAUGGCUUCUCCAGCAGUGGGGAUGGAAGAUGAUUUGGAGCCCUUGGGAAUUUCUGCAGGUGUGUCUGCAGGGAGGACUUUUCAAGCCCCAGGGCUGGAUGCUGCACACAAUCCCAGCUCCCAUGGCAGGGG